RNAcentral lists this ribosomal RNA (312 nucleotides) under Chaetoceros dichaeta. RNAcentral describes it as "partial Bacterial large subunit ribosomal RNA". It matches the Rfam family "Bacterial large subunit ribosomal RNA", at positions 2614 to 2925 of the family's 2925-position model. Lineage: Eukaryota; Bacillariophyta; Thalassiosirophyceae; Chaetocerotales; Chaetocerotaceae. The record is from RNAcentral.
GAACGUCGUGAGACAGUUCGGUCCCUAUCUGCCGUGGGCGUUUGAGAAUUGAGAGGGGUUGCUCCUAGUACGAGAGGACCGGAGUGGACGAACCGCUGGUGUUCGGGUUGUUAUGCCAAUAGCAUUGCCCGGUAGCUACGUUCGGAACUGAUAACCGCUGAAAGCAUCUAAGCGGGAAGCAGGCUUUGAGAUGAGUUCUCACUGGAGCUUUAAGCUCCCUAAAGGGUCGUUGGAGACUACAACGUUGAUAGGUUGGGUGUGGAAGUGCUGCGAGGCAUUGAGCUAACCAAUACUAAUUACCCGUGAGGCUUA